RNAcentral lists this ribosomal RNA (530 nucleotides) under Rhizomucor pusillus. RNAcentral describes it as "partial large subunit ribosomal RNA". It matches the Rfam family "Eukaryotic large subunit ribosomal RNA", at positions 101 to 651 of the family's 3401-position model. The record is from RNAcentral. Lineage: Eukaryota; Fungi; Mucoromycota; Mucoromycetes; Mucorales; Lichtheimiaceae.
GGGUAAGCUCAAGUUUAAAACCUGUUUGUCCUAGACAAACCGGAUUGUAAACUAAGGACGUGCUAUCCAGGCUCUUUGGACCUUCAAGUCCUUUGGAAUAAGGCUUCACAGAGGGUGACAAUCCCGUAGAGGGUCUUGAAAGAGUCUAUUGCGAUGCAUGCUCCAAGAGUCAGGUUGUUUGGGAAUGCAGCCUAAAGUGGGAGGUAAAUCCCUCCUAAAGCUAAAUAUUGGCGAGAGACCGAUAGCAAACAAGUACCGUGAGGGAAAGUUGAAAAGGACUUUGAAAAGAGAGUCAAAAGUACGUGAAAUUGCUUAAAGGGAAGCGUUUGGAGCUAGUUUGGCUAGUCUGUUAUCAGCCUGAGCUUCGGCUUUGGUGUACUAUCAGGCUAUUUGCCGGCCAACUUUCAGGAUUGGAAGGAAAGCUUAGUGCUUUGGAGUCUAAAGAGACCUUUGCGGAAGCCUCUGGUGGAGCGUUGGUCUGCCUUGGCCCUUCUGAACCUAUAGUUGGCUUAAUGGCUCUAAACGGCCCG